Molecule: ribosomal RNA, 994 nt
Filed under: uncultured organism
Description: bacterial SSU rRNA
Rfam family: Bacterial small subunit ribosomal RNA
Source: RNAcentral
GAAUAAGCGUCGGCUAACUACGUGCCAGCAGCCGCGGUAAGACGUAGAACGCGAGCGUUAUCCGGAUUACUGGGCGUAAAGCGCCUGUAGGCGGCUUUGUAAGUUGGGCGUGAAAGCCCCGUGCUUAACGCGGGGAGGCCGUUCAAUACUGCGGAGCUAGAGUACGGCAGAGGGGAGUGGAAUUCCUGGAGUAGCGGUAAAAUGCGCAGAUAUCAGGAGGAACACCAGUGGCGAAGGCGGCUCCCUGGGCCGAGACUGACGCUCAGAGGCGAAAGCUAGGGGAGCGAACAGGAUUAGAGACCCUGGUAGUCCUAGCCCUAAACGAUGGAUGCUAGGUGUGGGGACGAGGAGUUUCCGUGCCGGAGCAAACGCGAUAAGCAUCCCGCCUGGGGACUACGGCCGCAAGGUUAAAACUCAAACGAAUUGACGGGGGCCCGCACAAGCAGCGGAGCGUGUGGUUUAAUUCGAUGCUACACGAAGAACCUUACCUGGGUUUGACAUGUAGGUGGUAGCGAGGCGAAAGCUGAGCGACCCUUCGGGGAGCCUACACAGGUGCUGCAUGGCUGUCGUCAGCUCGUGCCGUGAGGUGUCGGGUUAAGUCCCGUAACGAGCGCAACCCUUGCUCCUAGUUAUACGUGUCUAGGGGGACUGCCGGCGGGAAGCCGGAGGAAGGUGGGGAUGACGUCAAGUCAGCAUGGCCCUUAUGUCCAGGGCUACACACACGCUACAAUGGCCAGUACAAAGGGUAGCGAAGCCGCGAGGUGGAGCGAAUCUCAGCAAAGCUGGUCGUAGUUCGGAUUGCAGGCUGCAACCCGCCUGCAUGAAGCUGGAGUUGCUAGUAACCGCGCGUCAGCUAUAGUGCGGUGAAUACGUUCCCGGGCCUUGUACACACCGCCCGUCACGUCAUGGGAGUCGGUAACGCCUGAAGGCGGUAGCUUGACCUGAUAAAGGGGAGCGCUGUCGAGGGCGGGACUGGCCACUGGGACGAAGUCGU